CUUUUCUUUGUUUUUUGGUGUGUAUAUAUAUUCCCUUAUCCCUUCAUCGUCCAUCUAUCCUUCUUCAUCAACAUAAAAAGCUGCAAACUUUGGCUCUCUUUUCUCUCUUUUUGCCCUAAUUUUUGUUUGGUUUACUGUUGUCGUGCGCUUAUAUCAGUUCAAGCUGCCAGCAUGAUCUAACCUUAAUCUCUGCUAAUUAUGUUCGAGAUUCAAGAUCAGAUCAUAUGGCAGCUUCACCUGUUCUUGGCUGCACGAAGAACUUAGCCCUAAAUACAAAACCCUAAUCACUUUCUUAACAAUUUCUUCAUUCUCACCCGUUUUCCAUGCACAAUUCCUAAAAAAGGCAUUUCUUGGGGUCAAUUGCGAGCUUGAUCUUUGGUAUGUGUGUCCAGUGGCCGAGUAGCAAAGUUAAAAAGAUAAGGCAAUUGUCUUUUUGUUCCUCUUGAAUCUUAAAAGUUCUUCACUCUUCGCUCUUCUUUGUGUUUGUGUGUUUUUAGAUUAUGAUACUCGAAACUCGUGUGUCGUGUCGUGUUGUUUAACGUCGAGACAUUAUAAUCUCGAUUAAGAGGUUUGAAUCUUUGCUCCUUAUACGUUAAGCGAUGAAAGAUUUCUAAGAUUUCUAAUUUUCUUGUCGUGAUUGUGUUUUAUAGAUUUAGGAAACCUGGUUCAUCUAAAAGUGAUUGUUUAAGGAUACAAUGUUAUAAUUUCGAUCAAGGGAUUCAAGUUUCUGUUGUACAUGUUUGUCUUAAUUAUAUAAAGUUACAAACUUUUGUUUAUGA
Molecule: long non-coding RNA, 779 nt
Organism: Cucurbita pepo subsp. pepo (vegetable marrow)
Lineage: Eukaryota; Viridiplantae; Streptophyta; Magnoliopsida; Cucurbitales; Cucurbitaceae
Source: RefSeq, a predicted model, not a curated record